RNAcentral lists this long non-coding RNA (2442 nucleotides) under Nicotiana tabacum (common tobacco). RNAcentral describes it as "long non-coding RNA (NTAB_LNC008897)". Lineage: Eukaryota; Viridiplantae; Streptophyta; Magnoliopsida; Solanales; Solanaceae. The record is from RNAcentral.
UCUUAAACCCUUAGAGAUCAACUCACUUCCAUCUCCUAACCCUAGUCCUUCUCUCUCUAGCGAACCCUAGCCGCCCUAAAAUCCACACUGGUGGUCACCACCCCAAGCACCCCCAAAUCUUUAUCCUACACUCCCCAUUCCUCCUAAUAUGUAAUCCCCUAUCAAUUUCUCUAGAAACCUCCCCAAAAUCCAUAAUUUCCAGAUCCAAGAACCCCAAAAAACCUAGUUCCACCUUUUUCAAUUCUUGAAGUUUUGAGAACACAAUUCGAGUUGAAACUCACAUUAAUUGUUUGUUCUCAACCAGAACAAUCGAUUGACGUUACUUUCGGCUCAUUUCAAAAGUAUUCGGACUUAGUGGUUGACUAAACGUUUGGCACAAGGCCUUCUUGUUAUGUUUUAGGUAAUCUUGUGUCCUUUUUUUGUUUCCUUUUCUUCGGUUUUCACGAGUUUUAAUCUUUUUUUUUUUUACUUGUCAGCAUGUUAGGAUUUGAUGUCAUUUGAUUAUGUGUUUGCAUAAUUUAAUUAAUAGUUUAAUUGCAUGACUUUGAUUAGUUAAUUACUUUAGGUUAAUCAUCAAAAUUUUUUUAGGUUGUAAGUAUUUUCUGUUUUGAAUAGCAUAAUUCUUUCCCCAUUCUUGUUUCUUUUGUUCCUCUAAUUAAUUGUAUCUUAGCUGUUUUUUGUUUAAUUAGACUAGUCUUGUUAAUUGCCCUACGUUGGUAUUUAGGUCUAAAAAGAGGGGGUUGAGAGAGAUAGAAAGUAAGGAAUCUUUUGUUGAGCUGUUAAGAAUUGUUAGCAGGUAUUAGAAGGGAUUAAAGUACAAUUAGAUAAAACUUGGGGUGAAAAAGAGGUAAAAACAAAAGUAAAAAGAGCUGGAAAAUAAGAAGAAGCUUCUGGAUGAUGGACGACAGUUGUCCAAAUUUAUUAAGGGAAAGAUGCUGAAAAUUAGAUAAACAUCUGAAAAUAGAACAGCUGUCCAUUUUGGUUGAAAAAAAAGAUGCCUCAUCCCCUAAUUUUCAGCUGACAUUCCAUAUAUUCCCUCCCAUUUUCCCUCAUAUAGGACACCCUCCUACACUCUAUAAAAGAUACCUCACACUCCUUCACACAGAGGUGUAUUCACCCUGCUUUCCUCUAAAAGAAUACACUCGCAGAAAGCUUCUGAGAAAUCAAAAAACUUCUAAAUCUGAGAUCUUAAGCAGAAAAUUCCAAAAAAAAAGAGAAAACAAAAGGAAAACAGAAUAGAGAAACGAUUUAUGUGUUUGCUCAAGUCUGUGGCUGGUUGUUUCAUUUUCUGGGUUCAUAGAUGCUAUUUUGGUGUUAAAGUGUUGUUGAAUCUGACGCUUCUACUCUUGCUGAGCUCCAGUUUUCCUUUCUCUAGCCUUAUUUGCCUAUUCUAAGUUGCACUACUACUGUUAAGGUAUGUGCUUGUGGUCUCAAAUAAUUUAAUCACUAUUUGAAUAUCAUAUUGCUAUGAAAUCUCAGUUGUCUGUUCAUUUACAUGUAUACUGAAUGCUCUUUCAUAUUUGACUGCAAGUGUGAGUUCGGUUUGAAGUACCUGAUGUGAUGAAUGCCUAAAACCAUACAAGAAAUUUGAAUAAUAAUAAGAAACAAUCAGGAAAUCUAUUUUGUUUUAUUUUUAUCUUUGUUUGUCAAAAUUUUGAGUUGCUAUUGAUGGAUUCCUUACGCAUGAAGUUCUGCAAUUUCCCUGUAGGUUUGUGGUUUGUGGUUUAAGAAGUAACACGCCAAAAGUGUUGGUGACGAAUUUAGAAAUCUGACCAGUGCUUGGCCUGAUUUUUUAAAGUUCCACCACUUGAAAGUGGUCAUUUGUGUAAUAGUUUAAUUCUAGUUUAGUAUAGUUCCUAGUACAGAAAUGUAAUAAUCUGGUUCAUCAUUAGUGAAUGUAGUUGUGUCGAGUCAGUAGAUUGAUAGUUAUUUCAAACCAUGGAACGCUGUUGUAUAGCAAUUCAGUAUGAGUUUAGUGUUUAUAUCUGUUGAAAUGCUUAACUGUGGUAGUGAAGUAUAGAUAUAAUUCUUCCUGGCAUUUGUUAAGCUGAUUGCAUGCUGAAUUUCAUUUUUGUAGAAGAACCUGUUUGUUUCAGUAGUUAUUGUUUUCUUGCAAAGUUUUGGGUCUGGCCACUAUUCAGGCCCACUUUGGAACACCUUAUGGAUUGAAGUUUAAUUUAUGGCAAUAAAGGGGGCUGCCAAGCCCGAUUUUGUCAGGCUCACACUUUAUAUUAAUAAAAUGGCUCUUUGUUUUUGUAAUAGGCCGACACAUGAGUUUAGGUUUUUUUCAAAUUGUUAUUAUCUUUUAAAGUUUUUUUUACACACUUGAUCCUUUUUAACUAUUAUUUAAAAAAAAUAGAAUCAUUUAUUAUUUAUUCCAUAAAAAGCACUUUUUUCUCAUUAUUAGCAUAUUAUAAAAAUUAAGCCCAACAUUCAUCUUCU